GCCGGGGUGGUGGAACGGCAGACACGGAGCACUCAAAAUGCUCUGCCCGCAAGGGCGUGCGGGUUCGAGUCCCGCUCCCGGCACCA
RNAcentral lists this transfer RNA (86 nucleotides) under Serinicoccus chungangensis. RNAcentral's name for it is "tRNA-Leu". It matches the Rfam family "tRNA". Rfam says of the family: Transfer RNA (tRNA) molecules are approximately 80 nucleotides in length. RNAcentral also lists the same sequence under 1 other name. Lineage: Bacteria; Bacillati; Actinomycetota; Actinomycetes; Micrococcales; Ornithinimicrobiaceae. The record is from RNAcentral.